ACAAUAAAUUGUAAUUUCUUUUUCUUGAUAUUUUAAGAUAUAUUUUCAUAUAUAUAUUUUAUAUAUUUUUAAAAUUAUAUAAAAAUACAUGGAUAUAAAAAUUGUGGACGAAAAAUGUUGUCCAAGAACUAAAAAUGUUACAAAGAAAUAAGAUGAAAGAAACAUACACAACAAUUAAAAUGUUAUCCAAGAACUAAAAAUGUUACAAAGAAGUUAGAUGAAAGAGGCACACACAAGAUGAAGAUAUAUGUGUGUGAAUAUAGACAAAAGUAUUGUGGACAGACGAGUGUAGACGUCGGGGUUGUGGACAAAAAUAAACAGAAAACAUGUGGAUGUGGAUGGCUGUGAGUUCUGCCCAUGAGUUUUACCAGCAUACCUCAGAGAACCAUUUUCCAAUUCCAAAUCACCGACUUUCAAACCUAUGCAAAUCACCAUCUUUCAAGCCCUAAUCUCAAUUAUAUCUUGGAAUGAUACCAAUCUCUCUCCAAAUACAGAUUCACCAUGUAAAUUUCUAUUAUCCGCCACCACCACUGUAUUUACCCCGUUCUUUACCCUAAACUUUGUCUUGUAUCCAAAAGUUCUUCCAGUUUCCUCUUUGCGAAAUUGCGGCCAUACAGCACCAGUUUUUUACUUUGAUUUUGCCAUGCUUUGAAAUAGUGAGAAAGAGGCGAGAAUAAUCGUCGAAGAAUAUCAGAAAAUUGAACAACCAAACUCAUGGAAAAGAAAUGAAAAGAUGGAGAUGAGAUUACAGAUUCAUAAUCGGCGGAGCAACCGAUUCUUGGUGUUAUACGAGAAACUGAGGAUGAAGAAGAAGAGGGUUCGAGGAGAUUAGAGUUAGAAAUUGGUGUUUGAGAAAUUUGGGAAAGCAAAUCUGAACUUUGAAAUAAAGUUGGAGAGAUAGUAUAUGUUAGUUUUCGAGAAGUAUAAAACUGGUUUAUACAUUUCUUUUUUUUUAAUUAUUUUUAAUUGAUAAUAGUUGAAAAAAGACAUUUUAGUUAGA
This 1000-nucleotide long non-coding RNA is filed under the name Brassica rapa (field mustard). RNAcentral describes it as "long non-coding RNA (BRAP_LNC000220)". Lineage: Eukaryota; Viridiplantae; Streptophyta; Magnoliopsida; Brassicales; Brassicaceae. The record is from RNAcentral.